This is a non-coding RNA of Styela clava, 232 nucleotides long. NCBI's taxonomy places the organism in Eukaryota, Metazoa, Chordata, Ascidiacea, Stolidobranchia, Styelidae. The record is from RefSeq and is a predicted model, not a curated record.
CGGUUUUAAAGCCGUCAGUCAGAGAGAUCUGAAGAAUUUACACUUUUCGAAGGUUCAGCAUUUUCCAACUCGUAAAACCGAAUUAUCAAAAUGAACUUUCCUGUUUCAUCAAUUGUUAGAAUGAUCUACAUGAUCGUUAUAAUGAUUGCAAUGAGUGCAACAUUCAUUCCUGGUGUCCUGGGAGCCUUUAGGCCUGAAGGUGAAGGUCCGGAUAAACAGCAUGAAUUCCAAG